This 99-nucleotide non-coding RNA is filed under the name Streptomyces sp. RNAcentral describes it as "Glycine sequence". It matches the Rfam family "Glycine riboswitch aptamer". Rfam says of the family: This family represents the bacterial glycine riboswitch. Glycine riboswitches usually consist of two metabolite-binding aptamers domains with similar structures in tandem. RNAcentral also lists the same sequence under 1 other name. Lineage: Bacteria; Bacillati; Actinomycetota; Actinomycetes; Kitasatosporales; Streptomycetaceae. The record is from RNAcentral.
CGACCCUGUGCGGGAGAGUCCUCCGAGUGAGCUCGACGGAGGCGCCGAAGGAGCAAAUCCUCCCCGGAAUCUCUCAGGCAUACGUACCGCACGGACGAG